RNAcentral lists this ribosomal RNA (580 nucleotides) under uncultured bacterium. RNAcentral's name for it is "bacterial SSU rRNA". It matches the Rfam family "Bacterial small subunit ribosomal RNA", at positions 337 to 907 of the family's 1533-position model. The record is from RNAcentral.
UCCUACGGGAGGCAGCAGUAGGGAAUCUUCCGCAAUGGACGAAAGUCUGACGGAGCAACGCCGCGUGAGUGAUGAAGGCUUUCGGGUCGUAAAACUCUGUUGUUAGGGAAGAACAAGUGCUAGUUGAAUAAGCUGGCACCUUGACGGUACCUAACCAGAAAGCCACGGCUAACUACGUGCCAGCAGCCGCGGUAAUACGUAGGUGGCAAGCGUUAUCCGGAAUUAUUGGGCGUAAAGCGCGCGCAGGUGGUUUCUUAAGUCUGAUGUGAAAGCCCACGGCUCAACCGUGGAGGGUCAUUGGAAACUGGGAGACUUGAGUGCAGAAGAGGAAAGUGGAAUUCCAUGUGUAGCGGUGAAAUGCGUAGAGAUAUGGAGGAACACCAGUGGCGAAGGCGACUUUCUGGUCUGUAACUGACACUGAGGCGCGAAAGCGUGGGGAGCAAACAGGAUUAGAUACCCUGGUAGUCCACGCCGUAAACGAUGAGUGCUAAGUGUUAGAGGGUUUCCGCCCUUUAGUGCUGAAGUUAACGCAUUAAGCACUCCGCCUGGGGAGUACGGCCGCAAGGCUGAAACUCAAAUG